Molecule: long non-coding RNA, 3587 nt
Filed under: Homo sapiens (human)
Lineage: Eukaryota; Metazoa; Chordata; Mammalia; Primates; Hominidae
Description: HSALNT0379845
Source: RNAcentral
UUUUUUUUUUUUUUUGGAGACGGAGACGGAGUUCGCUUUUUCGCCCAGGCUGGAGUGAAGUGGUGCGAUCUCGGCUCACUGCAAACUCCACCACCAGGGUUUAAGCGAUUCUCCUGCCUCAGCCACCAUGAUUUAACACUGAGAAGUGGGCAGUCACAGAGAAAAAGUUUAGAAUAGUUCACCAGUGAAGUCAUCUCAACCAGCACAGGGCCUUGACUCCUAACAACAAUCACACGAACUUGGAAGAGGAGCCUUCCCCAACUGAACCUUCGCUUGAGACCUCGUCCUUGGCCAUCCUCUACAUCUGGAUUCAUGAUACAGAGAAACUUGAGUAAUGAUGACACUAGCAGUCCAGCCUGCAUGGAUGCUGACAUGGAUGCUGUCUCCCAUUCUUACCACUGGAUGGGAAGAAAUGCUAGAUGCAAUCCAGCCAGUCUGUACUCGACUGUCAGUUCCAUCUUCUCAACUCACAGUGUCUUCCAAAGUCCGUGCCACACCACAGCCUGGAACAUCUCCCAAGGUUUCAAAUAAUUCAUCAGUGAAUUCUUCUCAACCUGGUCAAUCAUGUGAACUUAGAAGAUGAUUCCUCCCCAGCUGAUCCUCAGGUGAGACAUCAGCCUUGGCCAUCAUCUACAUCUGGAUUCCUGACCCAGAGAAACUGGAACACUAAGACCCAUUCUUCUUCUCAAGUAUCCAAAAAUAAAGUUGAUCCAAGUAAGAAGUGGACAGCAUAAAAGAUUGUAUGGAAGCUAUAAUGCAUCUACAUCUGCAGUAACUAAUCAUAAAAUGAUUUGUAUGAUCAUUCUUCACAUGAUUAGAAUUACUAUGGGAAAGAAGAAAAAGAAAUGCCUCUCUGGAUGGUGACUAUAACCUAUAGCCUUGCCCAAUAUGACUCAGGAUUUGGUACUGGCUGUGCCUUUCAUGGGAUGCUUACUUAUCCUGGUCGAUGGCCUAAAGCCCAACCGUCCAGCUUAUAUCCAGGGAUAAACUCAGCCUGCGGGGCCUCAGGAAGAAGGUCGUAGCCAUUUCAUUGAGUCCAGGGCAGAAAAGUGGAAGAAAAAUGUGAAUGUGUUAAUUUGAGGACUUUAGCUCUGAGAGGUUUCAGGAUUCAGUCCAAAAUGCAGAAAACAAUAAAAAGCUCAAAAACAAUGGACAAGACUAGAAUCUAACAACAGGGUCUCAAGCCACCCAGGCUGGAGUGCAGUGGCACAAUUAUGGCUCACUGUAGCCUCACCUUCCUGGGAUCAAGCAAUCUUCUUUCUUCAGCCUCCAGAGGAGCUGGGACCACAGAUCCUUUGGCAUUUGAGAGUUGCUUUGUGUAUACGGUCCUUUAACGGAGCAAAUGGCCAGCCAGGAAACCAAAGUAUGGACAAGGGGAAAGAAGCGUCUGUGGAGGAAGUUUUACAAGCGCCCUCCUCAUCCAUUUGGGUGGUGUUGCCCAUAUGCUACAUGUCUGUGGACCACUAUGUGUGUUUAAAGCUUUUUAGUAAAACGUUACUAAAAACUAUGACUCACUGUGGUGAAAAAGGUGGCAAAACAGUGACAACACAACACGGAGAUGCAUUGACACCCUUCUUCAAUCCAGAGGAUGGGCCAUCAACUCACAAAAGUACAAGGCCUGGAACCAGCUGCAAAGUUCCUAUGGAUCACUUGGCCAGAAACAGGUUCUAACUAUGUUGCCCAAGCUGGUCCUGAACCGCUAGCCUCAAAUAAUCCUCCUGCCUGAACCUACCAAAGCAUUGGUAUUACAAGUUUGACCCACCGUGAUCUGUCCAGAGUGGGAAAUAGAAUCUUAACAACUAUCACAUGAACUUUGAGGGUAUCCUUCUCCAGAUGAGCCUUCAGUUGAGACCUCAGCCUUGGACAUCAUCUGCACCUGGAUUCCUGACCCAGAGCAACUGCAUGCAUAUGUUAUCCCAGCUUCUGGGGAGGCUGACUUGGGAGGAUUGCUUGAGCCCAGGAGUUCCAAACUGAAGUGAGCCAUGAUUGUGUCACUGCACUCCAGCUUGGGAAACAGAGGGAGACCAAGACUCAAAAAAAAAAACUGGCCUCAGAAGGAAUUUUAUGGAACCUUGUAUUCUGUUGAAUACCAGAAUUAUAUCAGCAAUCCCAAAGUCACCAAAUGGGCAUCAUCAUGACAGCAGACUUCAUCAUGAAUUCAUGGCAUCACACAGUCCCCUGAUGCUAUAACAUCAUGGAUUUCUUUUGUCCAGUGAGAGGCCCAAAAGCUGCAGCAUAGACAAUAUCAUAGUGUAGAAGGUUCACUAGACCGUGAUCAUGGGCUACAUUCUCCGUACCAGCUUCAUAGCUCCAGUGAGAAAAUAAAUUCCUGCAUCCAGGAGAUGUGGAGUAAGAGAUACAGCUGCCCUUGACCAUAUUUCUUACUUCCGAGAAGAUCGUAGCAGUAAUUCAGGUUAUUGGGGAACAGGUGGUUUGGGUUACAUGAAAUCUCAUCCAGGAUACCUCAUCACAGGCUGGAGUGCAGUGUCAUGAGCUUGGCUCACUACAGCCUCCAUCUUCUGUGCUUAAGGAUCCUUCCCUCUCAACCUCCAAGGUAGCUGAGACUACAGGCAACAUUCGAAACCCAGGUGCCACUCCUUCAGGAAGGUACCAUCAAGCUCCAAGGACUCAUCCUCUUUCUCCUUCCCCACUACCUAGUCAUUAGAGCGUCAGCAUCCACUUCCUGAAAGGAAGAUGCCUGUUUUUCACAUAUCCCAGAAAGCCUCAUUUUAGGACAGCAUUUAGCAGAGUGUAUUCAGGAUCCCACUAACCUUUUCGGAAGACAUGACUUCCAGAUGAUAUAAGGCUCCAUCAGGAACUGUGCAGGACUGUGCACUCUGUUGAUACUCACAUGGUGGAAUUAUAUUGCCCUUGGCCAACCCUAAAGCCAUCAAGAUAGCAGGUUUGGAAUAAUUCACUGUCGAAGUCUUCUUGAGCUGAGCAGUCAUGUGAGCUUGGAAGAUGAUCCCUCUCCAGCUGAUCCUUCAGCUCAGGCCAUCAUCUACAUCUGGAUUCCUGACCCGGAGAAACUAUGAGUAAUGUGUGCUGCUUUUGAGCCACUAAGCUACAUGAAUUAAUGAAGGAUCAUUAUUAAGUUUUUAAUGGGUCAAGAGAAAGUUACCACUGAGGUCUUCUCUACCUGGGCAACAAUUGACUCCUAACAACCACUAUAAGCUUGGAAGAUGAUCCCUCCCCAGCUGAUCCUUCAGGUCUCUACUUUUUGUAGCCUGGGGAUUUUCUACUCCCCCAACAGCCAGAUGAGGCAGAAACCCCUACAGACAUCCCUAUGUGCCUCCUGUGCAAGUGCAGUUGCCCCUUGAAGGCAGUUCUCCUGCUGCAGACCACGCCCACCAAGGGCAGAGUCACAGCCACUGCAGCUGAGCUCAGAGCCUUCUGUGGGGUCUGCAGGGGCAAGGCCAGCUGUCCCCUGGGAUAGUUUGAAGAAUGCAGUUUGUUUGUAUAAUAAAGAUGUUUCUCUACGUCAUUCAUCUUGCUAAUCAAGGACGUUUAACAGCUUCAGACUUUCCUGGUAAUAUUUGUUCUUGCCUUUUUUUGGCAAAUAUAGUUAACACUUCUAUGCAUUUUUU